GGAAUAGUGGGUUAAACAGAAACCUGCAGGCUGGCAUCCUGUAUGGGCGCUGGUUCGAGUCCUGGCUGCUCCA
Molecule: transfer RNA, 73 nt
Filed under: Oryctolagus cuniculus (rabbit)
Lineage: Eukaryota; Metazoa; Chordata; Mammalia; Lagomorpha; Leporidae
Rfam family: tRNA
About the family: Transfer RNA (tRNA) molecules are approximately 80 nucleotides in length. Their secondary structure includes four short double-helical elements and three loops (D, anti-codon, and T loops).
Source: Rfam by way of RNAcentral